Long non-coding RNA from Bos taurus (domestic cattle), 1877 nucleotides. Lineage: Eukaryota; Metazoa; Chordata; Mammalia; Artiodactyla; Bovidae. The record is from Ensembl.
AUGCUGCACAGCUUUCUUUUCCUGCAUCUUUGCUGUACACGCAUCUGGGAACUUGACAAGCUGUCACAAGGCGGAGGAAAUAAACAGAUGUGGACUGCUGAUAAGAAUCUGGUGAACAUUCAGAGCCUGGCGCUGAUUUGCCCCAUGGCUUGCUCGUUAUCGGAACACCAUUAUAAACUCUCACCUGGGGAAGCGCUCCAGCCUGCCCGAGCAACUUGCAUCUGGCGUCAAUCGUGGCCAUAAAACCAGCCCAUGAGUCAUCGAACAGCCCAGGUGUCUACAAUUCCCCACUUCCACAGCACCUGACGGCAUGUGGCCACUUUCAGAUCACAAUCUCCCUGUCUCUAUUUAAGGAUGGUGAAGAGAGCUCUAAGAGGUGUAGUCCAGUCCCGGACAUGCUUAGGGCUGAAUGAAACACUCUCACUCAUUUCCCGAAAAGUCAGCACACACUGUGAGUGAUCAAAGUGGAAUGACAUGCUCAAGGAGGGUAAGAGCAACUGCACGAACACCAGCAGUGUGGCUUGCAUAACCGGCAGAUGCCUGCUCUUGAAAAAGAUUGUCCUGACUUGCAAAUCUGUUCCUUGUUCGAUGGCGAGAAGAGUGUGUCGGUGGUACCCACACUUGGAGGUCUCAGUUGUCUAGAGAGCUUCUACACAGUUCAAGAUAAGGCAGCAGUUAAGACCAAGCUCCUUUCUGGCUGAGUCUGUGGUUUUUCCAGGGUUUUGAGACAUAGAAAUGGUGCAAAAAAAUUAAACUUUUUUUUUGUUUCUGAAGUUACAGAAGAAGAACUAAUGCACAACACUGUGUAUGGAAGCCUGCUGUAUAUACAGGAGUAAAGAAUUCUCCUGUCAGUGAAGGGAACAUGGGUUCAAUCCUUGGUCCAGGAAGAUCCCACAUGCUGCAAGACAACGAAGCCUGAAAGCCCGUGCACCACAGCUGCUGGGCCUGUGCUCUGCGGCAGGAGAAGCCACAGCAGUGAGAAGCUGCACGCAAGAGAGCAGCCCUGCCCGGCGCAACUAGAGAGAAGCCUGCACAGCCACAAGCGUGCAGCCCAGCCAAGAAUAAAAGAAAUAAAAAUCACCUUCUAAAAAUGGUUAAUCUUACAUCACAUGAACUGUACCUCAAUAAAGUUUAAUUUUAAAAUUCUAGGGGGAAAAGUAGCUGAGGAAUUAAGCCCAAAACAUCUAGAAAUCAAUUUUGGAUUAAUUCAUUCUACAAACAUUUUUGCACACUCAGUAAAGAUUGAAGGCAAAAGAAGAAGGAGGCAGCAGAGAAUGAGAUGAUUAGAUAGCUAAUCACUGACUCAGUGGACAUGAAUUCGAAUAAAUUCUGGGAGACAGUGGAAGACAGAGGAGCCUGGUGUGCUGCAGUCCAUGGGGUCGCAAAGGGGUGGACAUGACUUAGCUACUGAACAGCAACGAAUUUCUUAGCACAUCCCCACGACUGCACAAUAUAUUUUAACAUUAAUGAUAUAAGCAACUCUGAAGCAAAUUAAUUUUUAAAAGGUUAUAAAUUUGGACCAUGGAACAAUAGAUUCAACUGAUGAGUUCAGAGUGAAUUCUUUCCGUUGCCUUCAAGUCUUCCUACCCCAAAAUCUUACUUAGUAAAAACUGGCCGAUCUCUAGUUACCUGAGAGAUUCCCUUACCUUGUAAGUUAGGCUCAAUAUGACAUGAAUAGCCUUCAAUCAAGUCAAUGAAAGUGUUUUAGAAGGAUAAGGGUAAAAUAAAUAUAUCUUGGGCUGUAGUUUAUUUCUCUUUCUCUUCACUUAUUUUGAAAAUCAACACUUCUGAGGUAUAAUUUACAUUUAAUAAAAUGUCCCAUGAUAUCUAGGCAUGGAUUUGCUGACUCACCUUCCCUGGCGGCUCAGAUAGUAAAG